GACGAACGCUGGCGGCGUGCUUAACACAUGCAAGUCGAACGGAAAGGCCCUGCUUUUGUGGGGUGCUCGAGUGGCGAACGGGUGAGUAACACGUGAGUAACCUGCCCUUGACUUUGGGAUAACUUCAGGAAACUGGGGCUAAUACCGGAUAGGAGCUCCUGCUGCAUGGUGGGGGUUGGAAAGUUUCGGCGGUUGGGGAUGGACUCGCGGCUUAUCAGCUUGUCGGUGGGGUAGUGGCUUACCAAGGCUUUGACGGGUAGCCGGCCUGAGAGGGUGACCGGCCACAUUGGGACUGAGAUACGGCCCAGACUCCUACGGGAGGCAGCAGUGGGGAAUAUUGCACAAUGGGCGGAAGCCUGAUGCAGCAACGCCGCGUGCGGGAUGACGGCCUUCGGGUUGUAAACCGCUUUCGCCUGUGACGAAGCGUGAGUGACGGUAAUGGGUAAAGAAGCACCGGCUAACUACGU
Molecule: ribosomal RNA, 467 nt
Filed under: uncultured bacterium
Lineage: Bacteria
Description: partial 16S ribosomal RNA
Rfam family: Bacterial small subunit ribosomal RNA
Source: RNAcentral